Molecule: long non-coding RNA, 261 nt
Filed under: Setaria viridis
Lineage: Eukaryota; Viridiplantae; Streptophyta; Magnoliopsida; Poales; Poaceae
Description: long non-coding RNA (SVIR_LNC002974)
Source: RNAcentral
GGUUGAAAGGCUUAUCAAGAACAUUGAAGAUGCUCAAGCUAGGAGGUUGAAGGUGGAUAGAGAGAAUGAUGAGCUCACAUUGGCCCUCGGGAAUCCCAAGCACCAAGGACGUUUCCGAGGGUACAGGGUCAUUCCGUGGAAGCAUGAUUUUCAAGGGGACAAGGUUUCGUACAGAAGCCGCAAGCGAAGAAAGGAACAGCAAGAGGAGAGCUGGCGGCGCAUGUUAGAAGCCAAAGUGCAUUCACAAGAAGUAAGAAUGCA